RNAcentral lists this ribosomal RNA (502 nucleotides) under uncultured bacterium. Its description in RNAcentral is "partial 16S ribosomal RNA". It matches the Rfam family "Bacterial small subunit ribosomal RNA", at positions 30 to 523 of the family's 1533-position model. The record is from RNAcentral.
AUUGAACGCUGGCGGCAUGCCUUACACAUGCAAGUCGAACGGCAGCAUAGGAGCUUGCUCCUGAUGGCGAGUGGCGAACGGGUGAGUAAUAUAUCGGAACGUGCCCUAGAGUGGGGGAUAACUAGUCGAAAGACUAGCUAAUACCGCAUACGAUCUACGGAUGAAAGUGGGGGAUCGCAAGACCUCAUGCUCCUGGAGCGGCCGAUAUCUGAUUAGCUAGUUGGUGGGGUAAAGGCCUACCAAGGCGACGAUCUGUAGCGGGUCUGAGAGGAUGAUCCGACACACUGGGACUGAGACACGGCCCAGACUCCUACGGGAGGCAGCAGUGGGGAAUAUUGGGCAAUGGGGGGAAGCCUGAUCCAGCCAUUCCGCGUGCAGGAUGAAGGCCCUCGGGUUGUAAACUGCUUUUGUACAGAACGAAAAGGUUUCUACUAAUACUAGGAGCUCAUGACGGUACUGUAAGAAUAAGCACCGGCUAACUACGUGCCAGCCGCCGCAGUAA